This 253-nucleotide ribosomal RNA is filed under the name uncultured bacterium. RNAcentral describes it as "partial 16S ribosomal RNA". It matches the Rfam family "Bacterial small subunit ribosomal RNA", at positions 524 to 776 of the family's 1533-position model. The record is from RNAcentral.
UACGUAGGGGGCUAGCGUUGUCCGGAAUCAUUGGGCGUAAAGCGCGUGUAGGCGGUUCGGUAAGUCCGCUGUGAAAGUCGGGGGCUCAACCCUCGAAAGCCGGUGGAAACUGUCGGGCUAGAGUACGGAAGAGGCGAGUGGAAUUCCUGGUGUAGCGGUGAAAUGCGCAGAUAUCAGGAGGAACACCGAUGGCGAAGGCAGGUCUCUGGGCCACUACUGACGCUGAGAAGCGAAAGCGUGGGGAGCGAACAGG